This 463-nucleotide ribosomal RNA is filed under the name uncultured bacterium. RNAcentral's name for it is "partial 16S ribosomal RNA". It matches the Rfam family "Bacterial small subunit ribosomal RNA", at positions 339 to 795 of the family's 1533-position model. The record is from RNAcentral.
CUACGGGAUGCUCCAGUGGGGAAUAUUGGACAAUGGGCGCAAGCCUGAUCCAGCAAUACCGCGUGUGUGAAGAAGGCCUUAGGGUUGUAAAGCACUUUCAAUUGGGAGGAAAACCUACCGGUCAAUACCCGGUAGCUUGACAUUACCUUUAGAAGAAGCACCGGCUAACUCCGUGCCAGCAGCCGCGGUAAUACGGAGGGUGCAAGCGUUAAUCGGAAUUACUGGGCGUAAAGCGUGCGUAGGCGGUUCGUUAAGUCAGAUGUGAAAGCCCUGGGCUCAACCUGAGAACGGCAUUUGAAACUGGCGGACUAGAGUUUAGUAGAGGGGAGUGGAAUUUCAGGUGUAGCGGUGAAAUGCGUAGAUAUCUGAAGGAACACCAGUGGCGAAGGCGACUCCCUGGACUAAAACUGACGCUGAGGUACGAAAGCGUGGGUAGCAAACAGGAUUAGAUACCCCAGUAGUC